Molecule: ribosomal RNA, 505 nt
Filed under: Acrobeloides sp. PS-1146
Lineage: Eukaryota; Metazoa; Nematoda; Chromadorea; Rhabditida; Cephalobidae
Description: SSU rRNA
Rfam family: Eukaryotic small subunit ribosomal RNA
Source: RNAcentral
CGCGAAUGGCUCAUUAUAACAGCUAUAAUUUACUUGAUCUUGACACUAUCCUACUUGGAUAACUGCGGUAAUUCUAGAGCUAAUACAUGCAUUAAAGCUCUGACCACACGGAGAAGAGUGCACUUAUUAGAACAAAACCAAGCGGCUUCGGCUGUUUUCGGUUGACUCAUAGUAACUGAGCUGAUCGCACGGUCUUGCACCGGCGACGUGUCUUUCAAGUAUCUGCCGUAUCAACUUUCGAUGGUAGUGUAUCUGACUACCAUGGUGAUCACGCGUAACGGAGAAUAAGGGUUCGGCUCCGGAGAGUUCGCCUGAGAAAUCGCGAACACAUCUAAGGAAGGCAGCAGGCGCGAAAAUUACCCACUCUCAGCACGAGGAGGUAGUGACGAAAAAUAACGAGACCGUUCUCUUAUGAGGCCGGUCAUCGGAAUGGGUACAAUUUAAACCCUUUAACGAGUAUCUAUGAGAGGGCAAGUCUGGUGCCAGCAGCCGCGGUAAUUCCAGC